GACGAACGCUGGCGGGGUGCCUAAUACAUGGAAGUAGAACGCUGAAGAGAGGAGCUUGCUCUUCUUGGAUGAGUUGCGAAAGGGUGAGUAACGGGUAGGUAACCUGCCUUGUAGCGGGGGAUAACUAUUGGAAACGAUAGCUAAUACCGCAUAACAAUGGAUGACACAUGUCAUUUAUUUGAAAGGGGCAAUUGCUCCACUACAAGAUGGACCUGCGUCGUAUUAGCUAGUAGGUGAGGUAAUGGCUCACCUAGGCGACGAUACAUAGCCGACCUGAGAGGGUGAUCGGCCACACUGGGACUGGGACACGGCCCAGACUACUACGGGCGGCAGCAGUAGGGAAUCUUCGGCAACGGGGGCAACCCUGACCGAGCACCGCCGCGUGAGUGAAGAAGGUUUUCGGAUCGUAAAGCUCUGUUGUAAGUCAAGAACGGGUGUGAGAGUGGAAAGUUCACACUGUGACGGUGGCUUACCAGAAAGGGACGGCUAACUACGUG
RNAcentral lists this ribosomal RNA (497 nucleotides) under uncultured bacterium. RNAcentral's name for it is "partial 16S ribosomal RNA". It matches the Rfam family "Bacterial small subunit ribosomal RNA", at positions 28 to 507 of the family's 1533-position model. The record is from RNAcentral.